Molecule: non-coding RNA, 331 nt
Organism: Malus domestica (apple)
Lineage: Eukaryota; Viridiplantae; Streptophyta; Magnoliopsida; Rosales; Rosaceae
Source: RefSeq, a predicted model, not a curated record
GUUAGGUUCUUGGAUCAACUCAUACGUCCUAAUUGAUUGGAACUCCGCGGGAACUUUCUUCUUGUUUUCAAGCUUAUCUGCUGUAACCAUUUUUGUCAAAGCUGGAACCAGAGAAGAAAUUCAAACAUCAAUGAAUCGGUUUUCAGCAAAUAGAUAAAAACAUUGCAGAAUGAAGCGUGUUCUGAAUGUCAGCAAAACUUUGCAAUUCAAGGUUUCAUUGUAGCUCUGAUCCUGAGAAAAAUACUAAUUACCACACAACUUCAUUUUCUUUGUUGUAAACCUGUUGGUGAUCAGUACCUUAGAACAAUGGAGUAUAUGUUCGUUGGUCCAU